CCCCUGCCGUCUGGUUUUCCACAACAUUGCAUGACUGGAGGAGGUUUAAGCUCUGUACUGGAUUCUGGACUUAUGAUGACCACAGCACAAGACAGUUCUCCGAGGGAAGCUGUUCGACUGUCCUGUGGGCCGGGACACAUGGCGCCUGAACAUGGACCUGAGUACGAGGGAUCCAGUGAAGAGCUCCCGAGGAAGGCUCCAGUGCAGAGCAAACAAGAAAAGCUGGCGGAAAACAGAAGCAGGCCUCAUCUCAGUCUCCACAGAAUAAUAAACCCACAGUUAUACCACCAGGUCACAGUCAAGAUCAUUAUUCAGUCUUGCCGAAUGUCCUUAAACCUGUGGGUCUAGAGCUUACCACAAUACAGCCUGCUGGUGUGGUGGGAACUUCUUCAAUCCACCAUGAGGAUGCAUCUCAGCCCUUAGUGCCAGUUAGUAAUGAAGAACUUUCAUUGGUUAAUUCCUGCAGCAGGGAAAAUAUUUGGCAGUGCUGAUGCAGAUCAACAAAAUAAGGAUACCUGAUUCUGUUUUGCUUCUUUGACACUACUGCUGCUGGUUUUGAUCCUGUGCUACUCCUGACAGAACAGGGGGAUCUCUGUCUUGCUUUACAGAAACGCUGCUGCUUUUACGCCAACAAGUCCAGCAUCGUUCUGAAUGGAAUGGACUCCUCCCCGUUUUCCUCCCCAUAUUUGGUCUGAUUCUGGGUUUACUGAUUGUUUGCUCUUUGGGGCCUGUUCUCUUUAAUAAGCUCAUGGUUUUCCUUAAACAACAGAUUAAUUCCAUAAAAAUGCAGCCUAUCCAAGUCCACUACCACAGCCUGGAGAUGGAGUAUCGCGGAGCCUAGACAUUGCUCCUGCCUGAGGCGCUGAAUCGGUCAGCCAAAGACGGGUAAGAGAGUCAGAGCCUGUAACAGCUGUACAGUCCUCCCACCUAAGACAGGAAACCCAUCAUAGCUAUGGGAUUCUCCAGUGAUGGGUAAGGAUGGACAUGUGGCUCUAAAAAUGACUCCAACCUAAGACAGGCACGAUUCCCCCAGGUUUUUCUCCUCUCUUUGAAAAAUA
Long non-coding RNA from Tupaia belangeri chinensis (Chinese tree shrew), 1058 nucleotides. RefSeq lists it as uncharacterized. Lineage: Eukaryota; Metazoa; Chordata; Mammalia; Scandentia; Tupaiidae. The record is from RefSeq and is a predicted model, not a curated record. The transcript is spliced from 3 exons.